Molecule: ribosomal RNA, 197 nt
Filed under: Sphaerospermopsis sp. LEGE 08334
Lineage: Bacteria; Bacillati; Cyanobacteriota; Cyanophyceae; Nostocales; Aphanizomenonaceae
Description: partial 16S ribosomal RNA
Rfam family: Bacterial small subunit ribosomal RNA
Source: RNAcentral
AAAACGGAGAGUUUGAUCCUGGCUCAGGAUGAACGCUGGCGGUAUGCUUAACACAUGCAAGUCGAACGGAAUGCUUAGGCAUUUAGUGGCGGACGGGUGAGUAACGCGUGAGAAUUUGGCUUCAGGUCGGGGACAACAGUUGGAAACGACUGCUAAUACCGGAUAUGCCGGAAGGUGAAAGGCUUGCUGCCUGAAGA